GACGAACGCUGGCGGCGUGCCUAAUACAUGCAAGUAGAACGCUGAAGGAGGAGCUUGCUUCUCUGGAUGAGUUGCGAACGGGUGAGUAACGCGUAGGUAACCUGCCUGGUAGCGGGGGAUAACUAUUGGAAACGAUAGCUAAUACCGCAUAAGAGUAGAUGUUGCAUGACAUUUGCUUAAAAGGUGCAAUUGCAUCACUACCAGAUGGACCUGCGUUGUAUUAGCUAGUUGGUGGGGUAACGGCGCACCAAGGCGACGAUACAUAGCCGACCUGAGAGGGUGAUCGGCCACACUGGGACUGGGACACGGCCCAGACUCCUACGGGAGGCAGCAGUAGGGAAUCUUCGGCAAUGGACGGAAGUCUGACCGAGCAACGCCGCGUGAGUGAAGAAGGUUUUCGGAUCGUAAAGCUCUGUUGUAAGAGAAGAACGAGUGUGAGAGUGGAAAGUUCACACUGUGACGGUAUCUUACCAGAAAGGGACGGCUAACUACGUG
This 495-nucleotide ribosomal RNA is filed under the name uncultured bacterium. RNAcentral's name for it is "partial 16S ribosomal RNA". It matches the Rfam family "Bacterial small subunit ribosomal RNA", at positions 28 to 507 of the family's 1533-position model. The record is from RNAcentral.